Molecule: ribosomal RNA, 230 nt
Filed under: uncultured Lactobacillus sp.
Lineage: Bacteria; Bacillati; Bacillota; Bacilli; Lactobacillales; Lactobacillaceae
Description: partial 16S ribosomal RNA
Rfam family: Bacterial small subunit ribosomal RNA
Source: RNAcentral
ACUAGUCUGGGAUACCACUUGGAAACAGGUGCUAAUACCGGAUAAGAAAGCGGAUCGCAUGAUCAGCUUUUAAAAGGCGGCGUAAGCUGUCGCUAUGGGAUGGCCCCGCGGUGCAUUAGCUAGUUGGUAAGGUAAAGGCUUACCAAGGCGAUGAUGCAUAGCCGAGUUGAGAGACUGAUCGGCCACAUUGGGACUGAGACACGGCCAAACUCCUACGGGAGGCAGCAGGC